GACAGAACUUGUGGCUGCGAUUGGUGGGGGAGUUCAUGAAUUUGGCUACUUUUUCCUUUUAGUCUAUAUAAAUUUGACUUAUAUGCGUGACAAAGACGUAAAAUAUUUGUAUUGAGUUCGAUACAACACUAGGAACUAGACUCAGCCCACCAAACUACAACACAUUGGUCCCUGCAUUUGAUUCGGAACCUAACAGAAUUUUAUGUAGGGCUUGCCGCCUGAUACCAACGACCAUAUGGUGCUAACUCUCAUCAUAAAUCCACACUUGCGUGGAUGUGUAUGGUUAUGAAUAUCUCGACAAGUUCGACUGCUAAAUGUAGCACGAAACAAUAAUUUCUUUUUUCAAGAAAAUCGUUACGUGAUAGUACUAAUUCAAGUGUUAUAGUUGUUAAAAAUUUUGAGAAUACAGAUAAUGUUUAUCCUACAAGAAUUCACACAAGAUGAAUAUUAGUAAAUUAUAAUUUAUGUUGAUAUGAUAAAUCAUAUAAAUAAUGAAACAACAACGAAAUACUUAUUUUUUAUAACAUAGAAACCACUCUUCGUCAAUGCUUGAUUAGAAACAAAAUUUUAGGUUAAGGCAUGUAAGUCACUAUCUUUAAGGGUAAAUUUCACUCCUCGGCGACAAUAUCUCGAUGUAGUAGGUUAUGACGCCCUACCCUUCAAGACUUGUGAUCUUUGUAAGCGUGCGCUCGCAAUACUUAGAUCGGAUGAACAACUUAAUUCUUUAGCACUUGAGAGAAUAGGUGAUCAAAUUAAAAAGCAAGGAUUGAAAACUUAUAGAAUAGUAGAGGACUUGACUGGAACUGCAAUUUACCCUUUUGAUUUACGCAAUAGUAAUAUAUAGGUCUAAUCACAAACAGAAUGGUGGCCAAAUAAUGGGAAUUCGAGGAGCAUUAUUGCACAAUCAAAUGCUAACAAUAAACCUCCUUUAAUGCAUUAAUUUUGGUUUGCAAACAAAACUGAGAAUUAAAAGAAAAAUUAAGAAUGAUAUUAACAUGAUCAAUGAAGUUUUGAUAUAUGAAUUGUGUUUUGAAAUACCCAAUUACAUAUUCCAAUAAUCCCUGGCAUAUUUCAAAAUACAAAUUGAGUAGAAGGGAAUUUGAGAUGCAAAAGUUUAAAGAGGAAAUGAAGUACCAAAGAAAAGUGAAAAUCCAAACACAUCAGAACUGGUGUCUUUUUGACUAUGAACCAGCCUUAUGAAGAGCUAGUCGUUACUCAUAGAAAUUUGUUGAAAACUAAAUUUUCUAUGAAUCAAUGUUUAUUUGUAUGAAUCAUAUGACUAACCAUCCACAUUAAAUCCUUGAAAUUGAGCUUGUUCGAGCAGGUUGGCAUGAAUAGGUCAUGCGCCCACUUGGAUAUUCAUGAUUGCUCCAAAGAACUUGCCUAAACUCUCAUAGAAAGCAUCCUUACUCCUACACUCAUAUAGAUGAAUCCAUCAAGUACACAUUGCAUUCAAGCAUACCGCCUGUAUAUAGGGUAUAGUAUUCAUUAAGAACAUAAGUUCAAUCUCAUACACUGCAGUAUUUGCACCAUCUGCACCAUAGGGAUAGACUCUCAACAAUAACAACAUUUGAUCUAAAUUAAUAGUGCACGCCCGACCAACAAGUGAUUUGUUCUUACCUAUAUGAACCUACUUCAUGGGAUAUCCAUUCAUAGAAGUUGGAUUACCAUCAUUCUCGACGGUUAUUAUAGGCAUACGUCUUAUCCCCCUAAUGAGAUAAUCAACACUAACAUUUAGCUUAGUAAAUUUGUCAGAGGAUUAGCUAGAUCCAUUUUUACCUCAGUAGGGGUUUAGUAUACAAGAAUUACUACUCAUUUCUGGUUAAUACAGUAUAUAUAGUACCUUAACAUAUUUAGUAUAUAUUCAGAAUAUGCUUCUGUAAUGGUCCAUGAAACUUUUCGUACACCUGUUCAAUUCCAUUAAGUCCUAUUUGGUGAACUGGAUGAGAUAGAUUGUAAUUAAUUAAAAUGGACUUGAGUCCAAUCUGUUGUUUGAUGUGUCAAAAUAUUAGAUGGACAUGACUGAACAUGAUGAGUAACAAGUUCAUAAUAGAGUGAGUUAUUUAAUAUAUCUUUAUACAUGGGUUACACGUCAUAUCUUAUAAGUCUUUACCAAUCAAAUCUCAUCUCUAAAGCUCAAUCUUAUCCACCCACCAAACGGGCUCUUACAUCUGACCAGCUGAGUGUUACUAUCAUAUUGGCCACACAUAAUUUUCCAUACGAGAAUUGGUAAGAACAAAAUUAGUUUCUAUCGUAUUUCAAGAUAAAUCUGAUGCCAUGCAUAUGAACAACAUUUCAAGGAAGACAUGUUUGCCAAGGUCAAUAUCAAUUUUAAAUCGUAUGUUUUAGAGAAAUGGAGCAUUUGCAAUUGCAUCAUCAUAAACUAUGAUGUAUGUUUACCAUACACCUAAUCAUUUAUCACAUAUCAUUUUACUUAAUCUUAGUUAAUAUUUUUUAAAAUUGAAAAAGUAAUAUUUAAAGUGAAAGUUAAUUAUAAUUUAAGUGACAUGACAUGUGACAGAUAAUUAAGUGUACAAUAAAUAUAUAUUAUAGUUAUGGUGGUGAGCAAAAACGCUAUGUAGAGAGAAACUUACAUACUUGUAGCAUAUCUCCACAUUUUCAAAUAUGUCUUAUCACCUGCAAAAAAGAUUUGUACACACUAAUUUUUACUCCUUUUUACACUCAUGUUCAAUUGUACAAUAUGUGAGUGAGUGAGAGCUCUUAGUUGGAAUUUCCCGAUGGUUCACGUUUAAUGGUAAUUUAUUAUGAUGAUCAUUAUGAGACUUAGCACAAAUCUUUCAUUUCCUAGUAUAUGUCGUCGUGUUAUAAAAAAAAAUAAAAAAAACUACUAUUUGUACUCUAAAAAUUUAAAUGUACACUACUCAUAAGAAUAUUUUUCUUUCAAAAAAUAAGAAGUUUGGAGUGCACAAUUAAAUAUUUUGAUUGCCAAUAACAAAUUCCAAAAAACAAUGACUAAACGAAAUUGAUUUCCACUCACUAUUUUUCUCCUUUUACAUCUAUACUUUCAUGCUUAUUUUUUACCAUUGAAUUAAAUAUAAUCCAGAAAGGGUAAAUAAUUGGUCAUAAAA
This 3089-nucleotide long non-coding RNA is filed under the name Malus domestica (apple). RNAcentral describes it as "long non-coding RNA (MDOM_LNC017246)". Lineage: Eukaryota; Viridiplantae; Streptophyta; Magnoliopsida; Rosales; Rosaceae. The record is from RNAcentral.